CGCACCGCCACGGCGCCAUUUUGCGUCUUGCCGCUGUGUGUGCGUCAAGCUCCGUGCGAGUCGUUGUUUGAGAAGUGAAUUUUCUGGUUUUAUCUCGUUUUGCGAGUGCCAGGACAGUUGCAUUGUGUUUCAGACUGAUCACCCGAUAUUUUUGUGCGCCUUUACUGUGCUCUUCGGAAGGCUUGCAGUUCUACCUUCCGAUUGCAGAGGCUUUUUGCUAAGCAUUGCCCGAUGGGCUGGAAAUGAGGAGCCUGGAAUGAAAAACGGUUGAGUAUACUUGUAUCGGGCCAGUUUUCACACUUCCUAGUCAAAUUUCCCAGAGACUCAAAUGUUUCUUAAGAAAAAAAAUAAUAACUUCACUAUUUCAUACAUGAUUUCUCUGGGAAAUAAUCAAAUCACACAGGUUGUUCAUUUAACUUCAUUUUCUCAUUCUGAAUUACUCAGGUUCAUUGUCUUUGAUAAAGUAUUUUUCACUCAAUGAUAUCAACCUGUGUGAUUUUUCAUUAGCAACAACAAGUUCAACCACUUAUAACUUGGUGAAUGUUUUUAAUGAACAAGUUAUGUUGUUUUUUCAGCACAUUUUGACAACCUCCUCAGGGGCAGCUUCUCGGAGUUUAAACACCAUAAUGAAUGAGUUAGGAUCAGUAGGAAAGGCGCAAGCUUUAUUAAGGUGGUAAUCAGUAGAUUGGGUAAGUGUACUAGAUUCUACCCAGCAGGAGCCCUGUCCUUUGAAGAGUCUGAUGCAUUUAUAGAGGAGAAUCAUUGAAACUUUUUUUCUCCGUGGGAGAGUGAGUACACCUAACCGAGGGAUUUUCCUGUCCAUACUACUUUUUUACCACCUUGCCUUUACUUGGGCAAGUGUCUUAGGACUUUUUAUCCGAACUUGUUCAGUUACAGCUGGACCUUUGCUGCCGUCCCUGACUCACCAUGAAGCUACUGUUGCUUGUCCUCCGUGUACUAUUGCCUUGUUUAUGAUAUGUUUUAGUUUUUAAGUGUUGAAGUAUAUUUAUUUGUACAGAUUUAUUGUGAAUACAUUUGUUUUAUAUUA
RNAcentral lists this unclassified non-coding RNA (1048 nucleotides) under Thrips palmi. RNAcentral's name for it is "uncharacterized LOC117645217, transcript variant X1". Lineage: Eukaryota; Metazoa; Arthropoda; Insecta; Thysanoptera; Thripidae. The record is from RNAcentral.